UACGAGGGGGGGCGAGCGUUGUUCGGAAUUAUUGGGCGUAAAGGGUGCGUAGGCGGUCUGUCGCGUCGGCUGUGAAAACCCGGGGCUCAACCCCGGGCCUGCAGUCGAUACGGGCAGACUAGAGUGCGGUAGGGGAGACUGGAAUUCCUGGUGUAGCGGUGAAAUGCGCAGAUAUCGGGAGGAACACCAGUGGCGAAGGCGGCGAUCUGGGAAGAUACUGACGCUGAGGUGCGAAAGCGUGGGGAGCAAACAGG
This 254-nucleotide ribosomal RNA is filed under the name uncultured bacterium. Its description in RNAcentral is "partial 16S ribosomal RNA". It matches the Rfam family "Bacterial small subunit ribosomal RNA", at positions 524 to 776 of the family's 1533-position model. The record is from RNAcentral.